AAAUGCGCCUUUGCAGGACUCACAGCUGUUCUGUGUUUUCAGUCUCUCCUGGUGCAGAGGGUCACGUGCCUCACUUCCCAGCCUGAUGAGAGUUGAGUGGGAAUCAGCCUGCUGCCUUUCCCCACCCUAGAACUUGGGCUUCAGCUUUCUCUGUUCUGCCACAUUAAUUGUCACUUCUCUAUCCACUUGCUGUUUUCCAAAACGGUUGAUCUCUCCUAUGCUGGUGUCUCUAAUUCUGUCUUCGUGGUCUCUUUUUAUUCCCUUACUGGCCAGUGGAGGUGCAGGAGUUGAUCUUGUUACUUCUACAGUAAUACAAGUGAGGUUUCAGCAUGUUGAUCACGGGGCCAGGUGGAUUUGUUAAUUUGUCUUCCCACACUCAGAGCUGACCAGAUCAGGAGGUAUGACCAGGUGUUAUUUCUUAAUAAAUCUUUUGCACUCCCAACUCCCUCUCAGCAUUUGCUUCCUGGAGAACCCAACCUGCCACAACAGGAAACAUUUAGAUCCUACAAAGUCAGCUGGGAAGAGAAGGAAUUCAGAAAAAAGAAUGAAACACUGAAAACUGUAUAUCAAAUAAGAAGAAUGAUGUGGAUUGUCGACUGGGAGACUAUAAAACCCAUCACUGAGCUCUUCAGGUCACAGAUUUUCCCUAUGGCAAGAACAAAGGCCCAUCAGGUAAAGGUGCAACUUCCCUCCCCCUCCCAACACUGGCGUCUCCUUAAGGAUUAAGCAUCUUUCCUUAGGCUAGAAACUGAUUGCUGCACUCACCUGUGACCGCCCAGCUCAAGACAAUAGACUUGCCUCCUGCUACGCCCAUGAAGAUAGCAGACCCACUACCUGCUGUGUCCAUCAAGCGCUGUGCAGACAGGGCAAUCUUGUGACUAUUGUGGGAGGGACAUUUCAAUCAUAGUGAAACACCCUCUUUGAGGGUAUAUAACCCACCUAUG
RNAcentral lists this long non-coding RNA (944 nucleotides) under Equus asinus (donkey). Its description in RNAcentral is "lncRNA (ENSEASG00005038493.1)". The record is from RNAcentral. Lineage: Eukaryota; Metazoa; Chordata; Mammalia; Perissodactyla; Equidae.